AGAACGAACGCUGGCGGCGUGCCUAACACAUGCAAGUCGAACGAGAAAUCGGGCACUCAGGCAACUGAGUGCCGGAGAGUAAAGUGGCGCACGGGUGAGUAACACGUGGGUAACCUACCCCCGAAUCUGGGAUAACUUCGCGAAAGCGUUGCUAAUACCGGAUAUUGUCCUUUUGGUUGUGACCUUUGGGAUGAAAGGCAACCUCUUCAUGAAAGUUGUCGUUCAGGGAUGGGCCCGCGUACCAUUAGCUUGUUGGUGGGGUAACGGCCCACCAAGGCUACGAUGGUUAGCUGGUCUGAGAGGAUGAUCAGCCACACUGGAACUGAAACACGGUCCAGACUCCUACGGGAGGCAGCAGUGAGGAAUUUUGCGCAAUGGGGGAAACCCUGACGCAGCAACGCCGCGUGAGUGAAGAAGGCUUUCGGGUCGUAAAGCUCUGUCAAGUGGGAAAAAAGUCUGAUGAUUAAUAGUUGUCAGAUCUGAUGGUACCACUGGAGGAAGCACCGGCUAACUCCGUGCCAGCAGCCGCGGUAAUACGGAGGGUGCAAGCGUUGUUCGGAAUUACUGGGCGUAAAGGGCGUGCAGGCGGGUUGGUAAGUCAGAUGUGAAAGCCCUGGGCUUAACCCAGGAAGUGCAUUUGAAACUGCCAUCCUAGAGUAUGGGAGAGGAGAGUGGAAUUCCCAAUGUAGAGGUGAAAUUCGUAGAUAUUGGGAGGAACACCCGUGGCGAAGGCGACUCUCUGGACCAAUACUGACGCUGAGACGCGAAAGCGUGGGGAGCAAACAGGAUUAGAUACCCUGGUAGUCCACGCUGUAAACGAUGAGAACUAGGUGUAGCGGGUAUUGACCCCUGCUGUGCCGAAAGUUAACGCAUUAA
RNAcentral lists this ribosomal RNA (876 nucleotides) under uncultured bacterium. RNAcentral describes it as "bacterial SSU rRNA". It matches the Rfam family "Bacterial small subunit ribosomal RNA", at positions 26 to 863 of the family's 1533-position model. The record is from RNAcentral.